GCCUGGCGUAGCAGUGUGUGCCUGUAAUCCCAGCUACUCGGGAGGCUGAGGCAGGAGAAUUGCUUGAACCCAGGAGGUGGAGGUUGCAGUGAGCCAAGUUCAUGCCACUGCACUCCAGCCUGGGUGACAGAGCAAGAUUCUGCCUCAA
Unclassified non-coding RNA from Callithrix jacchus (white-tufted-ear marmoset), 148 nucleotides. It matches the Rfam family "Metazoan signal recognition particle RNA". From Rfam's summary of the family: The signal recognition particle (SRP) is a universally conserved ribonucleoprotein. The record is from Ensembl. NCBI's taxonomy places the organism in Eukaryota, Metazoa, Chordata, Mammalia, Primates, Cebidae.